This 288-nucleotide long non-coding RNA is filed under the name Panax ginseng (ginseng). Its description in RNAcentral is "long non-coding RNA (PGIN_LNC004734)". Lineage: Eukaryota; Viridiplantae; Streptophyta; Magnoliopsida; Apiales; Araliaceae. The record is from RNAcentral.
UUUUUAAUCUUAUUUUUCUUAUAACAAUUUAUGUCCAAGUGACCUUUAAUACCACAAUUUUUGCAUGUUGUGAAAGGAGAACAAUAAUUCAAUUUGAAACGUGACUUGGAUCUAAGUAUAUUACCAGUUUUAUGAGUGGGAUUAUAACCUAUUCCUUGUCUAUCAAAACUAGGUUUUUGCUUUCCUAACAUUACAGUUAAAUUUUCUUCUCCUUGAACGAAUCUAGCAAGAGAUAUUUUCAACGAAUCUACUUCCUUUUGAAGUUCAUUAUCAUGAAUAGGUUUAGAU